RNAcentral lists this small RNA (139 nucleotides) under Embleya scabrispora. RNAcentral's name for it is "Streptomyces scabrisporus c-di-AMP sequence". It matches the Rfam family "c-di-AMP riboswitch aptamer (ydaO/yuaA leader)". From Rfam's summary of the family: This family represents a conserved RNA structure found upstream of the ydaO and yuaA genes in Bacillus subtilis and related genes in other bacteria. The ydaO/yuaA element is thought to act as a genetic "off" switch for the ydaO and yuaA genes in its native state. It is believed that the element may be triggered during osmotic shock leading to activation of ydaO, a predicted amino acid transporter gene, and members of the yuaA-yubG operon which code for KtrA and KtrB K+ transporters. Lineage: Bacteria; Bacillati; Actinomycetota; Actinomycetes; Kitasatosporales; Streptomycetaceae. The record is from Rfam by way of RNAcentral.
CAACCAUGGUCGCCGCGACGCGAAGCCGGAACCGGGGACCCUCGCAGUCCCUUGGGGUGAAUCGGUGCUUCGGCACCGUAGGGCGCCUUCUUCCGCCCGAACCCGUCAGCUAACCCGGUAGGCGGCCGAGGAAGGAGAC